GAGUUUGAUCCUGGCUCAGGAUGAACGCUGGCGGCGUGCCUAAUACAUGCAAGUCGAGCGAACGGACGAGAAGCUUGCUUCUCUGAUGUUAGCGGCGGACGGGUGAGUAACACGUGGAUAACCUACCUAUAAGACUGGGAUAACUUCGGGAAACCGGAGCUAAUACCGGAUAAUAUUUUGAACCGCAUGGUUCAAAAGUGAAAGACGGUCUUGCUGUCACUUAUAGAUGGAUCCGCGCUGCAUUAGCUAGUUGGUAAGGUAACGGCUUACCAAGGCAACGAUGCAUAGCCGACCUGAGAGGGUGAUCGGCCACACUGGAACUGAGACACGGUCCAGACUCCUACGGGAGGCAGCAGUAGGGAAUCUUCCGCAAUGGGCGAAAGCCUGACGGAGCAACGCCGCGUGAGUGAUGAAGGUCUUCGGAUCGUAAAACUCUGUUAUUAGGGAAGAACAUAUGUGUAAGUAACUGUGCACAUCUGACGUC
Molecule: ribosomal RNA, 484 nt
Filed under: Staphylococcus aureus
Lineage: Bacteria; Bacillati; Bacillota; Bacilli; Caryophanales; Staphylococcaceae
Description: bacterial SSU rRNA
Rfam family: Bacterial small subunit ribosomal RNA
Source: RNAcentral